GACGAACGCUGGCGGCGCGCCUAACACAUGCAAGUCGAACGGUGAACCGGGCUUCGGCCCGGGGAUCAGUGGCGAACGGGUGCGUAACACGUGGGCAACCUGCCCCCGACCCUGGGAUAACCCCGGGAAACCGGAGCUAAUACCGGAUACUCUCCUCCGACCGCCUGGUCGAGGGAGGAAAGGUCCGCCGGUCGGGGAUGGGCCCGCGGCCUAUCAGCUCGUUGGUGGGGUAACGGCCUACCAAGGCGACGACGGGUAGCUGGUCUGAGAGGACGACCAGCCACACUGGGACUGAGACACGGCCCAGACUCCUACGGGAGGCAGCAGUGGGGAAUCUUGCGCAAUGGGCGAAAGCCUGACGCAGCGACGCCGCGUGGGGGACGAAGGCCUUUCAGGUCGUAAACCCCUUUCGGCAGGGACGAAGCGAUCUCGUGACGGUACCUGCAGAAGAAGCCUCGGCUAACUACGUGCCAGCAGCCGCCGUAACAC
This 489-nucleotide ribosomal RNA is filed under the name uncultured bacterium. RNAcentral describes it as "bacterial SSU rRNA". It matches the Rfam family "Bacterial small subunit ribosomal RNA", at positions 28 to 526 of the family's 1533-position model. The record is from RNAcentral.